Molecule: ribosomal RNA, 253 nt
Filed under: uncultured bacterium
Lineage: Bacteria
Description: partial 16S ribosomal RNA
Rfam family: Bacterial small subunit ribosomal RNA
Source: RNAcentral
UACGGAGGAGGCAAGCGUUAUCCGGAAUUAUUGGGCGUAAAGCGUCCGUAGAUGGUUUUGUAAGUCUGCUGUCAAAGCACAGGGCUUAACCCUGUAAAGGCAGUGGAAACUACAAGACUAGAGUGCAGUAGGGGCGGAGGGAAUUCCCAGUGUAGCGGUGAAAUGCGUAGAGAUUGGGAAGAACAUCCGUGGCGAACGCGCUCUGCUGGACUGCAACUGACAUUGAGGGACGAAAGCUAGGGGAGCGAAUGGG